This 2154-nucleotide long non-coding RNA is filed under the name Marmota monax (woodchuck). Lineage: Eukaryota; Metazoa; Chordata; Mammalia; Rodentia; Sciuridae. The record is from RNAcentral.
CUGUCAGGCUCUAAGUUCUAAGCUCUCUCUGUCCCUAAGAUGCAAGGCCACAUCUGAAGUCCAUAAAAGUUGAGGACUCAUACUUCAAUUUAUUAUUGUUGUUCCUAUUAGUGCUCAGAACGAUGCCGUCUUCCCUUGGUAAGGAAGUGUGCACCGUCAAAGCCUCUGCAUGCUCAGUUUGCCAAUUCUUGUUUACUUGGAAGCCUGAGUCAACCAACCGUGGCCACCCAGAACACACACAGACCCAAUACACCAGACUCACACCUCCCAUGAACUGAGAGUCAGCCCUAUGUCCACAGACAGAUGCCUAUCCCUCCAGCGGGUACCAGAUGCACUGUUCCAGACCCACCCCUUAAGCCCAGACCACGAAUGUUAGAAAAUAGGAACUGGAUAGGCAAAAUAAUAGAGAUCCACUACGUAGGACUUUAAUCUUACUCCUCAGUCAUUACCCUGGCUUGCUGGUGCCAUCUCAAAUUCACAGGUAUCAUGGUGACGGUCGUCUUGUGUCUAAGCUUGUGCAUGUCUGGUCUCCUCUAGCUGUGAAAACUACAUUUCCAGUGUGUGCUGGGCAGGCAGUGCAGACUGUGGGGCUGACUGCACAGCUGGAGGCUUCAGGGGCAGGAGGAUGCCUUGAAGAGGCUGUGCCUGUGCUCCUGCAGGGGCCGCCCGGAGCACCCAGGUCUCAGGACCUUCGUGAACAUGUGGACGCUGCACAGAGGCCUGGAGAGGGCCCCAGGGGACUGGGGACUGGUGAGAGAACUGGAGGGCACAGCAGUGGCGAGGGUGGUGUGUCCAGAUCAGACAGCACACUUAACUCAGGCCCUGGAACAGAUCAGCGAGGCCGCUGCAGAGGGCGGCCUUAUCAGUGUGACACCUGUGACCGGAGCUUCAAAUGCCACUCAGAUGUGGUGAAGCACCAAAGCAUCCAUUCUGGGGGCAAGCCCUACGAGUGCAGCGACUGUGGGAAGGCCUUCAUCCACAGCUCGCACGUGGUGCGGCACCAGAGGACUCACCACGGGGACAAGCCCUACGUGUGCCAGGAGUGCGGGAAGGCCUUCAGCCAGAGCUUCAACCUCCUCAGACACCAGAGGGUCCACACGGGCGAGAAGCCCUACGAGUGUCCCGAGUGCGGCAAGGCCUUCAGCCAGAGGUCGGACGCCGCCAAGCACCGGAGGAUCCACACUGGAGAGAGGCUGUACGAGUGCAGCGACUGCGGCAGGACCUUCGUGCACAGCUCCAACGUGGUGCGCCACCAGCGGACUCACCACGGGGCGAGCCCGUACGAGUGCCAGGACUGCGGCCGCGCCUUCAGCCAGAGCUCCAACCUCCUCCAGCACCAGCGGGUCCACACGGGCGAGCGCCCCUACGCGUGCCCGGACUGCGGCCGCGCCUUCAGCCGCGCCUCCUUCCUCGGCGAGCACCGCCGCAUCCACACGGGCGAGAAGCCCCACGAGUGCGGCCAGUGCGGCCGCGCCUUCCGGGCGCUGUCCGGCUUCUUCCGGCACCAGAGGGUGCACACGGGCGAGAGGCCGUUCCGCUGCUCCGAGUGCGGCAGCGCCUUCCGCCUCAGCUCCCAUCUGAUCCAGCACCGGAGGGUGCACGGCGCGGAGUGAGCGCACGCGGGGGGCGCGGAGUGAGCGCACGCGGGGUGCGCAGGGGCAGCACCUCUGGGGCCUCCCACACCGCAGGCCUGUUCUCACUCUGUGCAGCCAGGGAAACAAUAAAGGUUUCUGCCUCUGAAAGCCUCCCUCUGUCUGCAGCCGGCGGGAAGGGAGGGUAGGAAAGGCCAGUGUCGCUGAUGGGCACUGCAGGCUUUCCCAAGGUAGAGACUUGAGGGACCCUGGGCAGUGCUGGACUGUGCCAGCUUUGCUCUGUGGUCAGCAGGCCUCACCUGUGCCCUCAUAACUCCCCUUAAUCUCAUUCUUCAAUGUGCAUGCAAAAAAGAUAUCAGGAGACUGCUUCUAAUAGACAACCAAGAAACAGAAUUUUUUAGAACUCAAAAGAAAAUAGGGGUAGUGUGGGAAAUAAGAAAAGGUGAACAAGAUUAUAAGUCAUAACCUUAGAGAAAGUGCAAGGGGAGCCAGCUGUGGGUGAGGUGGACAGUUGCUUAAAAAGAAACUGUAGCAUUAAAUCACAACAGAACAUGACUGUUAA